This 23-nucleotide small nuclear RNA is filed under the name Arabidopsis thaliana (thale cress). RNAcentral describes it as "snRNA_03689". Lineage: Eukaryota; Viridiplantae; Streptophyta; Magnoliopsida; Brassicales; Brassicaceae. The record is from RNAcentral.
ACACCAGCUCAGCACAUUGCAUG